This 301-nucleotide ribosomal RNA is filed under the name uncultured bacterium. RNAcentral's name for it is "partial 16S ribosomal RNA". It matches the Rfam family "Bacterial small subunit ribosomal RNA", at positions 509 to 807 of the family's 1533-position model. The record is from RNAcentral.
CAGUCGCCGCGGUAAUACGUAGGUGGCAAGCGUUGUCCGGAAUUACUGGGCGUAAAGGGCUCGCAGGCGGUUUCUUAAGUCUGAUGUGAAAGCCCCCGGCUCAACCGGGGAGGGUCAUUGGAAACUGGGAAACUUGAGUGCAGAAGAGGAGAGUGGAAUUCCACGUGUAGCGGUGAAAUGCGUAGAGAUGUGGAGGAACACCAGUGGCGAAGGCGACCCUCUGGUCUGUAACUGACGCUGAGGAGCGAAAGCGUGGGGAGCGAACAGGAUUAGAUACCCGCGUAGUCCCUGUCUCUUAUAC